This 468-nucleotide ribosomal RNA is filed under the name uncultured bacterium. RNAcentral describes it as "partial 16S ribosomal RNA". It matches the Rfam family "Bacterial small subunit ribosomal RNA", at positions 28 to 507 of the family's 1533-position model. The record is from RNAcentral.
GACGAACGCUGGCGGCGUGCUUAACACAUGCAAGUCGAACGGAAAGGCCCUGCUUUUGUGGGGUGCUCGAGUGGCGAACGGGUGAGUAACACGUGAGUAACCUGCCCUUGACUUUGGGAUAACUUCAGGAAACUGGGGCUAAUACCGGAUAGGAGCUCCUGCUGCAUGGUGGGGGUUGGAAAGUUUCGGCGGUUGGGGAUGGACUCGCGGCUUAUCAGCUUGUUGGUGGGGUAGUGGCUUACCAAGGCUUUGACGGGUAGCCGGCCUGAGAGGGUGACCGGCCAAAUUGGGACUGAGAUAAGGCCCAGACUCCUACGGGAGGCAGGAGUGGGGAAUAUUGCACAAUGGGAGGAAGCCUGAUGCAGCAACGCCGCGUGCGGGAUGACGGCCUUCGGGUUGUAUACCGCUUUCGCCUGUGACGAAGCGAGAGUGACGGUAAUGGGUAAAGAAGCACCGGCUAACUACGUG